AAAUUUCAAAUCACGCGCACCUAAAUUAUUCCCACAAAUUAUUUUCCAAAAAAAGAAAAAAAAAUGGAAAACAGAAAUUAGGAAAAACGCAAACACUUUCUACUCCACCGAAGAAAUAGAGAGGAGAGAGACUGAGAGCGUUUACAAAGUUAGGGUUUCGAAAUGUGAUUUGAUCUGCAAUUCACAAUUUGGUCCGAGGCUUAAUCGAAUUUCUUGCAAGGUCUAGCCAUUGGUUGCGAAAAUUCUCUCUCUCACGUCGCUUAAUCGAGUCACAGGGUUGAAUUGGAGCAACUUACGAGAACAAAUUCUCCUUAAACCAGCCGAGUAAUUCACGAUGAAAGCCAAUAAGGCCAACUUUUCUGGUCUACACAAUCAGGUUAGAGUUCAAGAAUAUGAAAGAAUGUGGAUGGAGAAUUUGAAAAUGAAUGUAAAAAGAACGAAUGCUAAAGGUGUUGGGCUCUUAGCCAAGAAAAUACUACAAGAAAAAACUUAUGGUUCGGGUUUUCCAAAUGGAAAUCACAAUAACCAGGUGGAAGAACGAAAUGAUGACUCGAGUAUGAUGGAGGCGGUAAUGAGGAUGAAAAUACUAGCAACAUGAUAAUUAAAAAUUUCACUUGUCAUACAAAAAGGUAAUACUUCUUCGAUUUGGAUUGUCUACAGUCUGAAGCCAAUUGUCAUUCAAAACUGCAGUUUCUAAAAUGAUCAUGUAUCCAAAAGUUAGAGUUUUCAAUUUGCUUAAAUUCACCAAGUAUACAAAUGAUCAUGUAUACUAACUAGAAUUUUUUUGUUCCGAUCUAUUUUUUUCCUUCAUAUUUGGAAAGUCAUAUAUAUAUGCUCGGUAGUGUUUCAGCUAGUGAAAGCGAUUCCAAAGGAUGCAUCUAGUCGCCGCAUGUUAGUGAGCAAAACGGGUAGUCUGGGGGGACAAGUAGGACAAUUAACCAGGAGCAUGGUGAGCUAAAUGGAGAAGAAAUGUAGAUCUAGCAAUGACAUGGUGGAGGCUCUUGUUUGUUUUUGAGUCAUUUUAUGAUUUCUAGUAAUGUACGUUGAAUUUGUUUAUGUGGAUUUUAAUUUUAUGCAUUUUGUCAUUAAAAACACUAAAUUAAUUAGUGAACGAUUAUUUUGUAAUGCAUGUGUCCUAUGGGCACUAAUAUUGUAAUAUUACUCUUUAAGUCAAUGAAAAUCUUUUAUUAUUGA
Spinacia oleracea (spinach) is the source of this 1194-nucleotide long non-coding RNA. RefSeq lists it as uncharacterized. The transcript is spliced from 4 exons. Lineage: Eukaryota; Viridiplantae; Streptophyta; Magnoliopsida; Caryophyllales; Amaranthaceae. The record is from RefSeq and is a predicted model, not a curated record.